UCUCCUUUUAAAGAUUGUUUAGAAAAGAAAGCUGUUGUUGUGACGAAAAAUAUUCAAAAGCAAGAAAAAUCUCCGAUUUAAAACUUUAAUUAUCCUUUGACUUUUAAUAUAGGUUAUUGAUUAGAGAGACUACUUUAAAGUCGUUUGAGUGACACGCGUGUUUCAAGCAUAGUUUUACGUCUCAACUUUUUCAUUUACGAUGGUCAAGAAAAGAAAACUGUCGUUAUGAAGAAAUCUAUCCAAAAG
This 246-nucleotide long non-coding RNA is filed under the name Mytilus galloprovincialis (Mediterranean mussel). Lineage: Eukaryota; Metazoa; Mollusca; Bivalvia; Mytilida; Mytilidae. The record is from RNAcentral.